UAAGCAUAUCAAUAAGCGGAGGAAAAGAACCAACAGGGAUUGCCCCAGUAACGGCGAGUGAAGCGGCAACAGCUCAAAUUUGAAAUCUGGCCCCCAGGGCCCGAGUUGUAAUUUGCAGAGGAUGCUUUGGGCGAGGUGCCUUCCGAGUUCCCUGGAACGGGACGCCACAGAGGGUGAGAGCCCCGUCUGGUCGUGCGCCAAGCCUGUGUAAAGCUCCUUCGACGAGUCGAGUAGUUUGGGAAUGCUGCUCAAAAUGGGAGGUAUAUGUCUUCUAAAGCUAAAUACCGGCCAGAGACCGAUAGCGCACAAGUAGAGUGAUCGAAAGAUGAAAAGCACUUUGAAAAGAGAGUUAAACAGCACGUGAAAUUGUUGAAAGGGAAGCGUUCAUGACCAGACUUGGCCCGGUUGAUCAUCCAGCGUUCUCGCUGGUGCACUCUGCCGGUCCAGGCCAGCAUCAGUUCGCCGCGGGGGACAAAGGUUUCGGGAAUGUGGCUCCUCGGAGUGUUAUAGCCCGUUGCGUAAUACCCUGCGGUGGACUGAGGUCCGCGCUUCUGCAAGGAUGCUGGCGUAAUGGUCAUCAACGACCCGUCUUGAAACACGGACCAAGGAGUCGUCUUCGUAUGCGAGUGUUCGGGUGUAAAACCCCUACGCGUAAUGAAAGUGAACGGAGGUGGGAGCCUCGGCGCACCAUCGACCGAUCCUGAUGUUCUCGGAUGGAUUUGAGUAAGAGCAUACGGGGCCGGACCCGAAAGAAGGUGAACUAUGCCUGUAUAGGGUGAAGCCAGAGGAAACUCUGGUGGAGGCUCGCAGCGGUUCUGACGUGCAAAUCGAUCGUCAAAUAUGGGCAUGGGGGCGAAAGACUAAUCGAACCUUCUAGUAGCUGGUUUCCGCCGA
RNAcentral lists this ribosomal RNA (894 nucleotides) under Myrothecium cylindrosporum. Its description in RNAcentral is "eukaryotic LSU rRNA". It matches the Rfam family "Eukaryotic large subunit ribosomal RNA", at positions 35 to 964 of the family's 3401-position model. The record is from RNAcentral. Lineage: Eukaryota; Fungi; Ascomycota; Sordariomycetes; Hypocreales; Stachybotryaceae.